Molecule: ribosomal RNA, 499 nt
Filed under: uncultured bacterium
Lineage: Bacteria
Description: partial 16S ribosomal RNA
Rfam family: Bacterial small subunit ribosomal RNA
Source: RNAcentral
AUUGAACGCUGGCGGCAUGCCUUACACAUGCAAGUCGAACGGCAGUACGGGAGCAAUCCUGGUGGCGAGUGGCGAACGGGUGAGUAAUGUAUCGGAACGUGCCCAGUCGUGGGGGAUAACGUAGCGAAAGCUACGCUAAUACCGCAUACGAUCUACGGACGAAGGCGGGGGAUCGGAAGACCCCGCGCGCUUGGAGCGGGCGAUAUCAGAUUAGGUAGUUGGGGGGUAAAGGCCCACCAAGCCUGGGAUCUGUAGCUGGUCUGGGAGGACGACCAGCCACACUGGAACUGAGACACGGUCCAGACUCCUACGGGAGGCAGCAGUGGGGAAUUUUCGACAAUGGGCGCAAGCCUGAUCCAGCAAUGCCGCGUGCAGGAUGAAGGCCUUCGGGUUGUAAACUGCUUUUGUACGGAACGAAACGGCUUUUUCUAAUACAGAGAGCUAAUGACGGUACCGUAAGAAUAAGCACCGGCUAACUACGUGCCAGCCGCCGCGGUAA